AUUGUUUUAAUUUUACGAAGUUUUGUCAUCAGAACUUUAAAUUGUUCAUGACGUCACAUACCUUUGUUUUAGAGCAGUUAUUUUGGAGACUGGAAAUAAAGCAUUAACUGAAUUAAGAUUGCGAAACAAUAUAAUAAAAUUUUAAGUCAUAAGAUUUUUAAAUCAGUCUGGAAUCCUUUGUCAGAAAUCGAUAUUUACAAGAAUUAAUUAUAAGUAUGAUGUAAGAAUAUGUGAUAGAAUAGGCACUACCAAGUUACUAUUAGCAGGUACUUGGCCAAAUGAACCUUUCCCAAUCAAUGAAUGAAUCUGAUAACGAUUGAACCAUUUCUCACCAUGUCUAACUAUAUAAUCAUGAUUUUCAUCAUCAAAUCCAUCAUUAUAUAUUUUAUUUUUUUUUGAUAAAUUUUCUAAUGUAUGUUGGGUUCGUUUUUUCUUUUUUGCAUAAUAUAGCUUUUAUCAUAAAAAAAAGCAUGAUGAAAUGAAUUAUAAAACAUAAGACAUCUAUAAUAAUAAUCUUAUAUUUUAUUACCCCAUUUAUGUAUUUAUAUGUUUUAAUUAGAUCUACACUUAAUUUAUAUAGAGGUGAUAAUUUGUGGUCUCUAUAAUAAAUUAUGACACUUGAUAAACUUUUA
Gordionus sp. m RMFG-2023 is the source of this 632-nucleotide long non-coding RNA. RefSeq lists it as uncharacterized. The transcript is spliced from 4 exons. The record is from RefSeq and is a predicted model, not a curated record. Lineage: Eukaryota; Metazoa; Nematomorpha; Gordioida; Chordodea; Parachordodidae.